GAUGAACGCUAGCGGCAGGCCUAACACAUGCAAGUCGAGGGGUAGCAGGAUUAAGCUUGCUUAAUUGCUGACGACCGGCGCACGGGUGCGUAACGCGUAUGCAACCUACCAUAUACUGGGGUAUAGCCCGGACAAAUUCGGAAUAAUCCCCCAUAGUACUAAUGAAUCGCAUGGUAUAUUAGUUAAUGCAUUGAGGUAUAAGAUGGGCAUGCGUCCUAUUGGCUAGAUGGUGAGGUAACGGCUCACCAUGGACAAGAUAGGUAGGGGGCCUGAGAGGGUGGUCCCCCACACUGGUACUGAGACACGGACCAGACGCCUACGGGAGGCAGCAGUGAGGAAUAUUGGUCAAUGGGCGCAAGCCUGAACCAGCCAUGCCGCGUGCAGGAAGAAUGCCCUAUGGGUUGUAAACUGCUUUUAUUUGGGAAUAAACCUCUUUACGUGUAGAGAGCUGAAGGUACCAAAUGAAUAAGCACCGGCUAACUCCGUGCCAGCAGCCGCGGUAA
This 503-nucleotide ribosomal RNA is filed under the name uncultured bacterium. RNAcentral's name for it is "partial 16S ribosomal RNA". It matches the Rfam family "Bacterial small subunit ribosomal RNA", at positions 28 to 523 of the family's 1533-position model. The record is from RNAcentral.